UAACCCAGAAGUGAUACCCAAAAUAUAACAUUGAAAAUAAUGAAAAACAAUAAAUAUUAAGUUAAGGCGGGCCGCAUAGACCCACCCUAACCUUUAACGCGGGCCGCAAUAAGGUGUAACCGGACUCCGCUGGAAUCUUUAGUUCAUGCGGGCCGCGUAAGAUAUCGUUAAGUUAACGCGGGCCGCGAGAGAUCGAAGUUGUGGCGCAGCCCGGUGAUGACACGUGUCAUCAUCGUGGCGGGUCUAGGGGGUGAGCCGGACAAGCUAGUCCGUUGACCGGGAUUGACGCGGGCCGCAUAAUCCCUGUCCAUUCUUUACGCGGGCCGCGUGGGAACCAGUUUCAGCAACUAUAUAAGGAACGCAGCGGAUUUCAAUUCAGUUCGUUCAUUUCUCAAUUCUCAAAUGACAAUUUCUGUAGUAGGCUUAUUAUACUCGGGUAUUAUACCCCCUAAUUAGCGAAGCUCUGCCUCGUUAUUAUAACCAGGAAGCCACAAAGGAAAUACCUAAAAUAGCAAUGUAAUACAAUGUGAAAGCCAAUUAGAAUAAAGCCAGCUCGAGAGCACUUACGGCUUGGAAAAAUGUGGCUAUAAAAGUUACCUAAAAGACGAUGUUUUAAAUUCAAUAAAAUAAGGGUUAUCCCUAUAAACAUGUUGUAAUAAGAAUCUUGGGUUUUACCCAUGUGAUUAUAAAAAUAAAAUAUGGUGGUUUUACUCUGAUAAAAUAUUUCCUAACUAUGGUCCUGAUGAAAUUUCCGCUGCCAAAAUAAUUAAACAUACGGAUACCACCGACACUGGCUCGCGGCCGCCCGUUCCCGGGAAUUAGGAUCGGGGGUUGUGACAGAAGGUGGUAUCAGAGCCUAGCCACUGGUUCAAGCCAAAGAAGUGUUCUGCUGACACUUAAAUUUUAAUUCUGUGUUAGGAAAUAACUUAUGUGAUUAUGUCUACCGGUAUGGGGAUUUUAUACAUUACUUGA
RNAcentral lists this long non-coding RNA (972 nucleotides) under Helianthus annuus (common sunflower). RNAcentral describes it as "sRNA HanXRQr2_Chr08g0338371". Lineage: Eukaryota; Viridiplantae; Streptophyta; Magnoliopsida; Asterales; Asteraceae. The record is from RNAcentral.